GACGAACGCUGGCGGCGUGCUUAACACAUGCAAGUCGAACGGAAAGGCCCUGCUUUUGUGGGGUGCUCGAGUGGCGGACGGGUGAGUAACACGUGAGUAACCUGCCCUUGACUUUGGGAUAACUUCAGGAAACUGGGGCUAAUACCGGAUAGGAGCUCCUGCUGCAUGGUGGGGGUUGGAAAGUUUCGGCGGUUGGGGAUGGACUCGCGGCUUAUCAGCUUGUUGGUGGGGUAGUGGCUUACCAAGGCUUUGACGGGUAGCCGGCAUGAGAGGGUGACCGGCCACAUUGGGACUGGGAUACGGCCCAGACUGCUACGGGAGGCAGAAGUGGGGAAUAUUGCACAAUGGGCGGAAGCCUGAUGCAGCAACGCCGCGUGCGGGAUGACGGCCUUCGGGUUGUAAACAGCUUUCGCCUGUGACGAAGCGUGAGUGACGGUAAUGGGUAAAGAAGCACCGGCUAACUACGUG
This 468-nucleotide ribosomal RNA is filed under the name uncultured bacterium. Its description in RNAcentral is "partial 16S ribosomal RNA". It matches the Rfam family "Bacterial small subunit ribosomal RNA", at positions 28 to 507 of the family's 1533-position model. The record is from RNAcentral.